UGGGGAAUAUUGGACAAUGGGCGCAAGCCUGAUCCAGCAAUGCCGCGUGUGUGAAGAAGGCCUUCGGGUUGUAAAGCACUUUUAUCAGGAGCGAAACGCUGUCGGCUAAUACCCGGCGGAACUGACGGUACCUGAGGAAUAAGCACCGGCUAACUUCGUGCCAGCAGCCGCGGUAAUACGAAGGGUGCAAGCGUAUACGAUGAUCUGGGCGUAAAGCGUGCGUAGGCGGUUUCUUAAGUCUGCUGUGAAAUCCCCGGGCUCAACCUGGGAAUGGCAGUGGAUACUGGGAGGCUAGAGUGUCCCAGCCAGGUUGGGUUGGGAAAUUUCCCCGGUGUAGCGGUGAAAUGCGUAGAGAUCGGGAGGAACAUCAGUGGCGAAGGCGGCCACCUGGGACAACACUGACGCUGAGGCACGAAAGCGUGGGGAGCAAACAGGAUUAGAUACCCUGGUAGUCCACGCCCUAAACGAUGCGAACUGGAUGUUGGUCUCAACUCGGAGAUCAGUGUCGAAGCUAACGCGUUAAGUUCGCCGCCUGGGGAGUACGGUCGCAAGACUGAAACUCAAAUGAAUUGAC
This 574-nucleotide ribosomal RNA is filed under the name uncultured bacterium. RNAcentral's name for it is "partial 16S ribosomal RNA". It matches the Rfam family "Bacterial small subunit ribosomal RNA", at positions 355 to 914 of the family's 1533-position model. The record is from RNAcentral.